Molecule: small RNA, 106 nt
Filed under: Marmota monax (woodchuck)
Lineage: Eukaryota; Metazoa; Chordata; Mammalia; Rodentia; Sciuridae
Source: RNAcentral
GCUGGGCAUGGUGGCACACGCCUGUAAUUCCAGCUGCUCGGGAGGCUGAGACAGGAGGAUCUCAAGUUCAAAGCCAGCCUCAACAACUAGUGAGACCCUGACUCAA